GAGAAGAGUGUGAUCCUGAAGUCGCGCAGACACGGGUUCAAAUCUCGCCUCUGCCCCUUGUUGGCUGACGGGCUUUGGGGAAUACGUUUCCGGUGAUCAAUCGGUGGAAGCUUCCAGAAGAAGAUGUAGACUCCCUUUCUAGCCCCUUCCUCGGCUUUGCGGCCCUGUUUUCUCAAACGGCCCAUUUUCAUCCCAAGGAAGGAACGAGCCCUGUGACAUAGUUUGGAAAACAGUGGACUAA
This is a long non-coding RNA of Balaenoptera ricei (Rice's whale), 241 nucleotides long. RefSeq lists it as uncharacterized. The transcript has 3 exons. The record is from RefSeq and is a predicted model, not a curated record. NCBI's taxonomy places the organism in Eukaryota, Metazoa, Chordata, Mammalia, Artiodactyla, Balaenopteridae.